Caerostris darwini is the source of this 80-nucleotide non-coding RNA. The record is from the annotation of a GenBank genome assembly. Lineage: Eukaryota; Metazoa; Arthropoda; Arachnida; Araneae; Araneidae.
UCUCAUAAGUACGAAGUUAAGCAUCAUUGGGCGCGGUCAGUACAUGGGUGGGUGACCACCUGGGAACACUGCGUGCCGUU